UACAGAGGUCCCAAGCGUUGUUCGGAUUCACUGGGCGUAAAGGGUGCGUAGGCGGUCGGGUAAGUCGGAUGUGAAAUCUCAGGGCUCAACCCUGAAACUGCAUUCGAUACUGCCUGGCUAGGGUACUGGAGAGGAGACUGGAAUUUACGGUGUAGCAGUGAAAUGCGUAGAUAUCGUAAGGAAGACCAGUGGCGAAGGCGAGUCUCUGGACAGUUACUGACGCUGAGGCACGAAGGCCAGGGGAGCAAACGGG
Molecule: ribosomal RNA, 253 nt
Filed under: uncultured bacterium
Lineage: Bacteria
Description: partial 16S ribosomal RNA
Rfam family: Bacterial small subunit ribosomal RNA
Source: RNAcentral